This 320-nucleotide ribosomal RNA is filed under the name uncultured bacterium. RNAcentral's name for it is "bacterial SSU rRNA". It matches the Rfam family "Bacterial small subunit ribosomal RNA", at positions 359 to 694 of the family's 1533-position model. The record is from RNAcentral.
GAAUAUUGCACAAUGGAGGAAACUCUGAUCCAGUGACGCCGCGUGAAGGAAGAAGGUCUUCGGAUUGUAAACUUAUUUUAUCAGGGAAGAAGAAAGUGACAGUACCUGAAGAAAAAGGACCGGCAAACUACGUGCCAGCAGCCGCGGUAAUACGUAGGGUCCAAGCGUUAUCCGGAUUUACUGGGUGUAAAGGGCGAGUAGACGGCGCUGUAAGUCAGCUGUGAAAACUUAGGGCUCAACCUUAAGCCUGCAGCUGAAAUGUGGUGCUAGAGUGCAGGAGAGGUAAGCGGUAUUCCUAUUGUAGCGGUGAUAUGCGUCUA